RNAcentral lists this ribosomal RNA (490 nucleotides) under uncultured bacterium. RNAcentral describes it as "partial 16S ribosomal RNA". It matches the Rfam family "Bacterial small subunit ribosomal RNA", at positions 30 to 507 of the family's 1533-position model. The record is from RNAcentral.
AUUGAGCGCUGGCGGCAGGCCUAACACAUGCAAGUCGAACGGUAACAGAAAGCAGCUUGCUGCUUUGCUGGCGAGUGGCGGGCGGGUGAGUAAUGUCUGGGAAACUGCCUGAUGGAGGGGGAUAACUACUGGCAACGGUAGCUAAUACCGCAUAACGUCGCAUGCCCAAAGAGGGGGACCUUCGGGCCUCUUGCCAUCGGAUGUGCCCAGCUGGGAUUAGCUAGUAGGUGGGGUAACGGCUCACCUAGGCGACGAUCCCUAGCUGGUCUGAGAGGAUGACCAGCCACACGGGAACUGAGACACGGUCCAGACUCCUACGGGAGGCAGCAGUGGGGAAUAUUGCACAAUGGGCGCAAGCCUGAUGCAGCCAUGCCGCGUGUAUGAAGAAGGCCUUCGGGUUGUAAAGUACUUUCAGCGGGGAGGAAGGGAGUAAAGUUAAUACCUUUGCUCAUUGACGGUACCCGCAGAAGAAGCACCGGCUAACUCCGUG